Molecule: ribosomal RNA, 253 nt
Filed under: uncultured bacterium
Lineage: Bacteria
Description: partial 16S ribosomal RNA
Rfam family: Bacterial small subunit ribosomal RNA
Source: RNAcentral
UACAGAGGGGGCAAGCGUUGUUCGGAAUUACUGGGCGUAAAGGGCGCGUAGGCGGCCUUCUAAGUCGAACGUGAAAUCCCCGGGCUCAACCCGGGAACUGCGUCCGAUACUGGAAGGCUUGAAUCCGGGAGAGGGAUGUGGAAUUCCAGGUGUAGCGGUGAAAUGCGUAGAUAUCGGGAGGAACACCGGUGGCGAAGGCGGCCCCCUGGUUGGAUACUGACGCUGAGACGCGAAAGCGUGGGGAGCAAACAGG